GACAGAGGUGCCGAGCGUUAGGCGGAAUCACUGGGCUUAAAGCGCGUGUAGGUGGCGGCCUAAGUACCUUGUGAAAUCCUGCGGCUCAACCGCAGAACUGCUUGGUAUACUGGGUCGCUUGAGUCAUCCAGGGGCAACUGGAACAAGCGGUGGAGCGGUGAAAUGCGUAGAUAUCGUCUGGAACGCCGAAGGUGAAAACAGCUCGCUGGGGCUGCGCUGACGCUGAGACACGAAAGCCAGGGGAGCGAACGGG
RNAcentral lists this ribosomal RNA (253 nucleotides) under uncultured bacterium. RNAcentral describes it as "partial 16S ribosomal RNA". It matches the Rfam family "Bacterial small subunit ribosomal RNA", at positions 524 to 776 of the family's 1533-position model. The record is from RNAcentral.